This 224-nucleotide ribosomal RNA is filed under the name uncultured bacterium. Its description in RNAcentral is "partial 16S ribosomal RNA". It matches the Rfam family "Bacterial small subunit ribosomal RNA", at positions 15 to 236 of the family's 1533-position model. The record is from RNAcentral.
GAUCAUGGCUCAGGACGAACGCUGGCGGCACGCUUAACACAUGCAAGUCGAACGAGAGAAGAGAAGCUGCUUUUCUGAUCUAGUGGCGGACGGGUGAGUAACACGUGAGCAAUCUGCCUUUCAGAGGGGGGAUACCGAUUGGAAACGAUCGUUAAUACCGCAUAAUAUAAUUGAACCGCAUGAUUUGAUUAUCAAAGAUUUAUCGCUGAAAGAUNAGCUCGCGU